RNAcentral lists this small nuclear RNA (164 nucleotides) under Cebus imitator (Panamanian white-faced capuchin). Its description in RNAcentral is "U1 spliceosomal RNA (ENSCCAG00000031889.1)". It matches the Rfam family "U1 spliceosomal RNA". From Rfam's summary of the family: U1 is a small nuclear RNA (snRNA) component of the spliceosome (involved in pre-mRNA splicing). Its 5' end forms complementary base pairs with the 5' splice junction, thus defining the 5' donor site of an intron. The record is from Rfam by way of RNAcentral. Lineage: Eukaryota; Metazoa; Chordata; Mammalia; Primates; Cebidae.
AUACUUACCUGGCAGGGGAGAUACCAUGAUCACAAAGGUGGUUUUCCCAGGGCGAAUCUUCUCCAUUGCACUCCGGAUGUGCUGACCCCUGUGAUUUCCCCAAAUGUGGGAAACUCGACUGCAUAAUUUGUGGUAGUGGGGGACUGCAUUUUCGCUUUCCCCUG